GAUGAAGAACGUAGCGAAGUGCGAUAAGUAGUGUGAAUUGCAGAAUUCAGUGAAUCAUCGAAUCUUUGAACGCACAUUGCGCCCUUUGGUAUUCCUUAGGGCAUGCCUGUUCGAGCGUCAUCUAAACCUUCAAGCCCUGCUUGGUGUUGGGUGCCUGUCCCGCCUCUGCGCGUGGACUCACCUCAAAUCCAUUGGCGGCCCCCGCGUCGGCCACGAGCGCAGCAGAAACGCGAACUCGUGAGCCCGUCCGGGCGGCUCCCAGAAGCUAACCCCCAAUUUUUGACCUCGGAUCAGGUAGGGAUACCCGCUGAACUUAAGCAUAUCAAUAAGCGGAGGA
RNAcentral lists this unclassified non-coding RNA (337 nucleotides) under soil metagenome. Its description in RNAcentral is "partial contains 5.8S ribosomal RNA, internal transcribed spacer 2, and large subunit ribosomal RNA". The stretch from base 1 to 120 matches the Rfam family "5.8S ribosomal RNA", at positions 35 to 154 of the family's 154-position model. The record is from RNAcentral.